Non-coding RNA from Acanthosepion pharaonis, 78 nucleotides. The record is from the annotation of a GenBank genome assembly. Lineage: Eukaryota; Metazoa; Mollusca; Cephalopoda; Sepiida; Sepiidae.
UAAGAUCACCGAAGUUAAGAAACCUCGAGCCUGGUCAGUACCUAGAUGGGUGACCGCUUGGGAAUACCAGGUGUUGAA